RNAcentral lists this ribosomal RNA (622 nucleotides) under uncultured bacterium. RNAcentral describes it as "bacterial SSU rRNA". It matches the Rfam family "Bacterial small subunit ribosomal RNA", at positions 92 to 732 of the family's 1533-position model. The record is from RNAcentral.
UGAGUGGCGGACGGGUGAGUAACGCGUGGGUGACCUGCCUCAUACAGGGGGAUAACAGUUAGAAAUGGCUGCUAAUACCGCAUAAGCGCACGGUACUGCAUGGUACAGUGUGAAAAACUCCGGUGGUAUGAGAUGGACCCGCGUUGGAUUAGCUAGUUGGCAGGGUAACGGCCUACCAAGGCGACGAUCCAUAGCCGGCCUGAGAGGGUGGACGGCCACAUUGGGACUGAGACACGGCCCAGACUCCUACGGGAGGCAGCAGUGGGGAAUAUUGCACAAUGGGGGAAACCCUGAUGCAGCGACGCCGCGUGAGCGAAGAAGUAUUUCGGUAUGUAAAGCUCUAUCAGCAGGGAAGAAAAUGACGGUACCUGACUAAGAAGCCCCGGCUAACUACGUGCCAGCAGCCGCGGUAAUACGUAGGGGGCAAGCGUUAUCCGGAUUUACUGGGUGUAAAGGGAGCGUAGACGGAAUGGCAAGUCUGAUGUGAAAGGCCGGGGCUCAACCCCGGGACUGCAUUGGAAACUGUCAAUCUAGAGUACCGGAGGGGUAAGUGGAAUUCCUAGUGUAGCGGUGAAAUGCGUAGAUAUUAGGAGGAACACCAGUGGCGAAGGCGGCUUACUGG